AACGGUGUAGCUCAGAGGAAGAGCGGUCUGCAGGGCAGAUGGGUCGGGGGUUCGAAUCCCCUCGCCGUUCCCA
This 73-nucleotide transfer RNA is filed under the name Muribaculaceae bacterium. RNAcentral describes it as "tRNA-OTHER". It matches the Rfam family "tRNA". From Rfam's summary of the family: Transfer RNA (tRNA) molecules are approximately 80 nucleotides in length. Lineage: Bacteria; Pseudomonadati; Bacteroidota; Bacteroidia; Bacteroidales; Muribaculaceae. The record is from RNAcentral.